AAAAUCCGGGGGGCUGAGCUGAGGCGUGAUGACGAGGAACCACGGUUCCGAAGUGAUUGAUACCAAGCUUCCAGGAAAAGCCACUAAGCUUCAGUCUAGAGUUGACCGUACCGCAAACCGACACAGGUGGGCAGGAUGAAAAUUCUAAGGCGCUUGAGAGAACUCAGGAGAAGGAACUCGGCAAAUUAACACCGUAACUUCGGGAGAAGGUGUGCCCCGGUAGCGUGUAGAGACUUGCUCUCGAAGCGCGAUGGGGUUGCAGUGAAAUGGUGGCUGCGACUGUUUAAUAAAAACACAGCACUCUGCAAACACGAAAGUGGACGUAUAGGGUGUGACGCCUGCCCGGUGCCGGAAGGUUAAGUGAUGGGGUGCAAGCUCUUGAUCGAAGCCCCGGUAAACGGCGGCCGUAACUAUAACGGUCCUAAGGUAGCGAAAUUCCUUGUCGGGUAAGUUCCGACCCGCACGAAUGGCGUAACGAUGGCCACACUGUCUCCUCCUGGGACUCAGCGAAGUUGAAAUGUUUGUGAAGAUGCAAUCUACCCGCGGCUAGACGGAAAGACCCCAUGAACCUUUACUGUAGCUUUGCAUUGGACUUUGAACCGGUUUGUGUAGGAUAGGUGGGAGACUGUGAAGCCGGGACGCUAGUUUCGGUGGAGUCAACCUUGAAAUACCACCCUGAUUUGUUUGAGGUUCUAACCUUGGUCCGUGAAUCCGGAUCGGGGACCGAGCAUGGUAGGCAGUUUGACUGGGGCGGUCUCCUCCCAAAAGGUAACGGAGGAGUACGAAGGUACGCUUAGGGCGGUCGGACAUCGCCCACAAAGUGCAAUGGCAAAAGCGUGCUUGACUGCGAGACCCACAAGUCGAGCAGGUACGAAAGUAGGUCAUAGUGAUCCGGUGGUUCUGUAUGGAAGGGCCAUCGUUCAACGGAUAAAAGGUACUCUGGGGAUAACAGGCUAAUUCCUCCCAAGAGUUCAUAUCGACGGGGGAGUUUGGCACCUCGAUGUCGGCUCAUCACAUCCUGGGGCUGUAGUCGGUCCCAAGGGUAUGGCUGUUCGCCAUUUAAAGUGGUACGCGAGCUGGGUUUAAAACGUCGUGAGACAGUUUGGUCCCUAUCUGCCGUGGGCGCUGGAAAUUUGAAGGGGGCUGCUCCUAGUACGAGAGGACCGGAGUGGACGAACCUCUGGUGUACCGGUUAUGACGCCAGUCGUAUCGCCGGGUAGCUAAGUUCGGAAGAGAUAAACGCUGAAAGCAUCUAAGCGUGAAACUCGCCUUAAGAUAAGAUUUCCCGGGGUCUUGAACUCCCUGAAGGGUCGUCGAAGACCACGACGUUGAUAGGUCAGGUGUGGAAGCGCAGCAAUGCGUUAAGCUAACUGAUACUAAUUG
This 1383-nucleotide ribosomal RNA is filed under the name metagenome. RNAcentral describes it as "bacterial LSU rRNA". It matches the Rfam family "Bacterial large subunit ribosomal RNA", at positions 1537 to 2907 of the family's 2925-position model. The record is from RNAcentral.